CCUACGGGAGGCUGCAGUGGGGAAUAUUGCACAAUGGGCGAAACCCUGAUCCAGCGACGCCGCGUGAGUGAAGAAGUAAUUCGUUAUGGAAAGCUCUAUCAGCAGGGAAGCAAAUGACGGUACCUGAGUAAGAAGCCCCGGCUAACUACGUGCCAGCAGCCGCGGUAAUCCGGAGGGGGCAAGCGUUAUCCGGAUUUAUUGGGUGUAAAGGGAGCGUAGACGGCAGUGCAAGUCUGGAGUGAAAGGCGGGGGGUCAACCCCCGGACUGCUGUGGAAACUGUACGGCUGGAGUGCAGGAGAGGUAAGUGGAAUUCGUAGUGUAGCGGUGAAAUGCGUAGAUAUUAGGAGGAACACCAGUGGCGAAGGCGGCCUACUGGACGGUGACUGACGCUGAGGCUCGAAAGCGUGGGGAGCAAACAGGAUUAGAUACCCGUGUAGUC
Molecule: ribosomal RNA, 440 nt
Filed under: uncultured bacterium
Lineage: Bacteria
Description: partial 16S ribosomal RNA
Rfam family: Bacterial small subunit ribosomal RNA
Source: RNAcentral